This 404-nucleotide ribosomal RNA is filed under the name uncultured bacterium. RNAcentral's name for it is "bacterial SSU rRNA". It matches the Rfam family "Bacterial small subunit ribosomal RNA", at positions 355 to 776 of the family's 1533-position model. The record is from RNAcentral.
UGGGGAAUAUUGGACAGUGGGGGAAACCCUGAUCCAGCAAUGCCGCGUGAGUGAAGAAGGCCUUCGGGUUGUAAAACUCUUUCAUCAACGAAGAUAAUGACAUUAAUUGAAGAAGAAGCUCCGGCUAACUUCGUGCCAGCAGCCGCGGUAAUACGAAGGGACCUAGCGUAGUUCGGAAUUACUGGGCUUAAAGAGUUCGUAGGUGGUUAAAAAAGUUGGUUGUGAAAUCCCGAAGCUUAACUUCGGAACUGCAAUCAAAACUUUUUAGCUAGAGUAUGAUAGAGGAAAGCAGAAUUUCUAGUGUAGAGGUGAAAUUCGUAGAUAUUAGAAAGAAUACCAAUUGCGAAGGCAGCUUUCUGGAUCAUUACUGACGCUGAGGAACGAAAGCAUGGGUAGCGAAGAGG